RNAcentral lists this ribosomal RNA (284 nucleotides) under uncultured Pseudomonas sp. Its description in RNAcentral is "partial 16S ribosomal RNA". It matches the Rfam family "Bacterial small subunit ribosomal RNA", at positions 1100 to 1382 of the family's 1533-position model. The record is from RNAcentral. Lineage: Bacteria; Pseudomonadati; Pseudomonadota; Gammaproteobacteria; Pseudomonadales; Pseudomonadaceae.
AACCCUUGUCCUUAGUUACCAGCACGUUAUGGUGGGCACUCUAAGGAGACUGCCGGUGACAAACCGGAGGAAGGUGGGGAUGACGUCAAGUCAUCAUGGCCCUUACGGCCUGGGCUACACACGUGCUACAAUGGUCGGUACAAAGGGUUGCCAAGCCGCGAGGUGGAGCUAAUCCCAUAAAAACCGAUCGUAGUCCGGAUCGCAGUCUGCAACUCGACUGCGUGAAGUCGGAAUCGCUAGUAAUCGUGAAUCAGAAUGUCACGGUGAAUACGUUCCCGGGCCUU